CAGUAGCCGCGGUAAUACGUAGGUCCCGAGCGUUGUCCGGAUUUAUUGGGCGUAAAGGGAGCGCAGGCGGUUUAGUAAGUCUGAAGUUAAAGGCAUUGGCUCAACCAAUGUAUGCUUUGGAAACUGUUAGACUUGAGUGCAGAAGGGGAGAGUGGAAUUCCAUGUGUAGCGGUGAAAUGCGUAGAUAUAUGGAGGAACACCGGUGGCGAAAGCGGCUCUCUGGUCUGUCACUGACGCUGAGGCUCGAAAGCGUGGGUAGCGAACAGGAUUAGAGACCCCUGUAGUCCCUGUCUCUUAUACA
This 301-nucleotide ribosomal RNA is filed under the name uncultured bacterium. RNAcentral's name for it is "partial 16S ribosomal RNA". It matches the Rfam family "Bacterial small subunit ribosomal RNA", at positions 509 to 808 of the family's 1533-position model. The record is from RNAcentral.